Branchiostoma floridae (Florida lancelet) is the source of this 1694-nucleotide long non-coding RNA. RefSeq lists it as uncharacterized. The record is from RefSeq and is a predicted model, not a curated record. The transcript has 2 exons. Lineage: Eukaryota; Metazoa; Chordata; Leptocardii; Amphioxiformes; Branchiostomatidae.
CUAUUGCAGCAGUCAGUGAGUCCCCUGGGCAGUAAAGGUCCCCUGGCUCCACAUGAAAAGGCCAUUAAACAGAGCUUCAACAACAUCAAACAGGUCCUGACUGUGCCUCCUGACAGUGUGGACCCACCCAGACUACCUCCUGACCAGGCUGAAUGGAUGAACUCGCUGACAGGCUCGCUGCUGACUACAGUAUCAGGGUUCCCUCCUGAGCUAAGGAGACCCAUGCAGCCUGUAAUCAGCUUCCUACAGAACCAUCAGUGACCCAUGCAGUCUGUACUCAGCUUCCUACAGAACCAUCAGUAGCACAGGCAGUCUGUACUCAGCUUCCUACAGAAUCAUCAGUAACACAGUCUGACGUACAUCUGCUUGGAGAUUAGCAGACAACCACUAUGUUCCUCAGGAGUUAUGGGCUGAUUAGUAUUAGAAUACGUUGAUAAAUGUUAGACAUCCAGGUAAUAAGAUAUGCCAAAAAGCAGAUACUCAAAGAACUGGAUAUGAUUUUGGAAACGGUUAGAUGUUUCAGACGUCAGUGCCACUGACAAAAGACACUGGAUGGUGUCUGAAAUGUCUAGCCACUUCCAAAAUCAUCAUAUCCUGUUGCUUGAGUAACUGUUUUUUGGCAUAAUAAUAGAAUACUUACAUGUUGGCAAUCCAUUCGAUAUGGGACCCUUGAACUUUAUAUUAAGUGCAUUAAAGCUACAUUUUACAUGAUAUGAAAAUAGCUGCAGACAUGCCAUCAAAAGAUCACAGUGUAAAAUUUCUUGACCAUUCUUGUAUGAGACAUACAAUGUACAUGUACAGGCACAUAUUGAAAAUUGGACAUUGGAUAAAAUUCAACAAUUUUCAAAAGUCACUGAUACCUGGAUUUCCUCUAAAUCCAUUUUGGAUAAAAUUUUACUGAACUAAAACUCAAACAAAUUCAAUUCUUUCACUUAUAGAGAAUAGCGUAUUCCUUUUCUAUGUUGCUCUUUAAUUUCCUUUAGUCAAAAGAUUGAAUAAGACUUGGUUCAUCAGCAUCUUACUUUUAUAGUUCAUUGCACAUUGGAGCUGAUAGAUAUGUAUCUAUUUUCCUUGUUAUGUCAGGAGCCUGUAUGUAUAUUUUGAUUCUGUUAUCAAUAAUGCAUAUCAUAUAUUUAUCAUUAAGUCAUUAAGUUGUAUUUUCAGCAAUAAUUGAUUGGAUUGUAUCUAUUCAGACAUCAUUUUCAGGUGUAGAACCUAAAAGGUUUAUAGUUAAAGAUAUGCAAAUGAAAUGCUAUUGUCUACAAUAGGUACAUGACUUAUUCUAGCAUAAUUUUUGUGGUUCUUUUGUGGUUCUUCAGUCACCCAUAGUCAUAUGUUUGUAUUACCUUUGUCAAAAAGGAUGUUUUGGUAUUUUUUUUAAAUAUUUGUAUAUAUGUAUGUAUGUAUGUAUGUUUGUAUGUAUGUAUGUAUGUAUGUAUGUAUGCAGGUGAGACCACGCGGCGUAGUCAACGGCUUGUUCGGCUCAGGCCCAAGAGGUUUAGUAGCAUCACACAAGAAGCUUUGACGAAUGGAUUGUCAUGAAAUCUAGUGUGACUUGUCCUUUAAAAAAAAUUAUAACAUUUUUAAAUUUCUGGCAGCUUUCCUUGGUACUGAAGCAGAACGUCCGUUUUUGAUAUCUCGUGUGUUGGACAAACAACUAUCCCAUUUUUUGGGGGUGGUACAUCGCCAUUGUG